This 264-nucleotide ribosomal RNA is filed under the name uncultured archaeon. RNAcentral's name for it is "partial 16S ribosomal RNA". It matches the Rfam family "Archaeal small subunit ribosomal RNA", at positions 748 to 1009 of the family's 1478-position model. The record is from RNAcentral.
UAGCCGUAAACGAUACUCGCUAGGUGUCGGCCACGGUGCGACCGUUGUCGGUGCCGUAGGGAAGCCGUGAAGCGAGCCACCUGGGAAGUACGGCCGCAAGGCUGAAACUUAAAGGAAUUGGCGGGGGAGGCACAACAACGGGUGGAGCUUGCGGUUUAAUUUGGAUUCAACGCCGGAAAUACUUACCGGGACCGACAGCAACAUGAAGGCCAAGCUGAAGACUUUGCCGGAUUAGCUGAGAGGUGGUGCAUGGCGUAGUCGUGU